GGGACCCUGUGGGAGGUAAUUGAAUCAUGGGAACAGAUCUUUCCUGUGCUGUUUUCGUGAUAGUGAAUAAGUCUCACAAGAUCUGAUGGCUUUAUAAGGUGGAGUUUCCCUGCACAAACUCUCUCUCUCUUUGCCUGCUGCCAUCCAUGUAAGACAUGACUUGCUCUUCCUUGCCUUCUGCCACGAUUGUGAGGCCUCCCCAGCCAUGUGGAAUUUUAGGUACAUUAAACCUCUUUCUUUGGUAAAUUGCCCAGUCUUGGGUAUGUCUUUAUCAGCAGCAUGAAAACAGACUACUAUAGGGAAUAAAUAUUUGCUGAACAAUAAUGUAAAUUAUCUCAGCCCCCCUCAAAUGCUUCUGUGGGCUCCACCAGUGACUUCCAUUUGCUUCUUAUUGGCUGUUCCUUUUUGCAAGGGAGGUUGUGAAAUACAUAAUUUUUUGGCCAAGUGUACUGCUGCCCCUUAAAAUAUAGGAGUUAAGUGAAUGAGAAAAAAAGAGAGAAUGUAAACUGGAUGCUAACAUUCUCUGCUGCAAAAGAAGUUUUUUUCUCAUUCGUCAUUCUUGGAUUCAAUAAAUGUUUUUGAAAGUUUACCAUGAGAAAAGUCCUGUCCUUGAUGAUGUAACUUAUAUGAGCGCACUACAUGGUUGCAGGAAUCCAGGGAGUUAGGCUGGGUUGGGAUGAUGGUUCUUAUUUGUCAGAUGAGGAACUUGAAGUCAGUGGAGAGGAAGUAGCUUUGCUGAGGACCCAUGCUCUGUGAGUGGUAGAUUCAGUUUUGAACCUCAGUAUUCUCUGUCUCAUUCCUUUAUUCAGAAGCAUUUAUCAAGUAGCUACUUGGUGCCAGGGAGAUGAAGACAGAAGGCCCAGAAUGGUUCUUUCCUCUAGGGAGGGAAAGUCACAGGAGAUAAUAUUUGCAACAGAGGAACUUCAGGGGACAUGCUGUGCUGAACCUUCAGGAUGGAGAGGACUGGUGCAGGGAGAUAUGUCAGGUUGGAAAUAGGAAUGUGUCAAGAAAAGGCUUUGAGAUGGAGGAAACUGCCCUGAAGGAGGUUUAAGAGUGUGUAAAAGGCCUGAAGAGGUAAUAAGAGGUCAAACGUUGAAGAGGUCUGAAAGCUAUCCUGCUGAGGAAUUUGCACUUAAUCCUGAGAGUUAUGUGGAACAGGUCAGUGGCAGACCAAUGUUUAUGUUUUGGCAGUGAUGUGCAGGAUGGAUUGGAGAGAGCAAAAGUAGAGCCUGAGAUGCUAGUUGAGUUUCUGAGAGUAGUGUAAGUGAUGACAAAAGUUUGAGCCAAAGAACUGGCCAUGAGGAGGAGAAAGAUUCCAGAAUCAUUUAGAAAGGCCAUUUGGAUAUGGGAGCCAAGGAAGAGGAAUUGCUUAGUUCAGCAGUUCUCAGCCCUGGCUAUGCUUAAACAAUAUAAAGACACUCAAGCCUUGGAAAUUUUGAUUCAGUUAAGUCUGGAACGGAGCUAGACAUGGAAUCUUAUUAGAGAGUGGGCCUGUUGGGCAGCUGCCUGACCAGUUUAUAAGAAACCCUAAAACGUCCUUAGAGCAAGUUGGAAAUCUCCUGCUAACUGGUGAAAGAUAGACUCACUCCUAUUGAACUUGGAAGCACCCUCUCAUGAAAAUAAUAAAAUAUUCCUCUCUAGCACCAACCUGUCUCAGUUGACUGAGUUGAGUGUUUCCUACUUGCAAGGUCCGCAGUGUAACCAGAGGCUCUGCCAACAACCUGGGAGCAGCCAACCACCAAUCAACCAAAAUUUGGAAAGUAACAAAACAAGAAGUGUUGUUUCCUAGAAGGGAGGGAUUUACUGGUUAUCUAAAUUUAAAACCCUUUAAUACAGUUUCCAAGAAGUUGCCUAGUUCAGGAAAAAAAAAAAAAAAAA
This is a long non-coding RNA of Macaca fascicularis (crab-eating macaque), 1878 nucleotides long. NCBI's taxonomy places the organism in Eukaryota, Metazoa, Chordata, Mammalia, Primates, Cercopithecidae. The record is from Ensembl.